This 4672-nucleotide long non-coding RNA is filed under the name Sus scrofa (pig). RNAcentral's name for it is "lncRNA (ENSSSCG00065049025.1)". The record is from RNAcentral. Lineage: Eukaryota; Metazoa; Chordata; Mammalia; Artiodactyla; Suidae.
UCUAAUCUUUAUUAUUUCCUUCCUUGAGUUAGCAUUGGCUUAAAUUUUUUCUCAUUUCUUUCUUUCUUUCUCUCUUCCUUUCUUUUUAUUUUUAUUUUAUUUUAUUUUAUUUUUGCUUUUUAGGGCCACAGCUGCAGCAUAUAGAAGUUCCCAGGCUAGGGGUCGAAUCGGAGCUGUAGCCGCCUGCCUACGCCAGAGCCACAGCAACGUGGGAUCCGAGCCGCGUCUGCAACCUACACCACAGCUCACGGCAAUGCCAGAUCGUUAACCCACUGAGCAAGGGCAGGGACCGAACCCGCAACCUCAUGGUUCCUAGUCGGAUUCGUCAACCACUGCGCCACGACGGGAACUCCCUCUCUCCUUUAAUAUUUUGGAACAGGUCGUACUUUCCAUGAUUUAAAAUCAAAAUGAUAAAAAAUGGUAAAAAAAAAAAAAAAAAAGUUCCAAAAUCUUGCUGUUUCUCCAUCUCCCCUGCUCUUCAGCGCCCCCUACUGGCACUUUCAUCAGCUCCGCACAAGGUAAACUCUGGGACAGUUUUACCUUGGAAUUGUCAUUCAUUCCCGCCACAGCGUUUGCACUGAUCUGUGUCUCACCCUCACUUCUCCCCAUGCGUGCAGAGAGCUUCCUCGCUCCUCUGAUAGCUGCGCAGAGCCCUAGUGUCGUGUGCCGCUUUGCAUGCGUGCACGCAUAUCUGUGGGCAGCUCAUCUUGUGGCCCUGACUUAGCUGCUCCCCCACCCUCUCAGCCUCCCCUGCAGGAGACCCCAGCUCAGGGACGAUGGGACGUGGCCUGACCCACUGAGAGUUCAGGACCCCCCAGUCGGUGUGAGAGAUCAGGACACUACCCCCACUCCAAGUCCACGUGUGAGAUCAGGACCCCUCCCCCCUCCACGUGUGAGGUCAGGACCCCCCAGCACACAGAUUGCUCCCCCCUCCCCACCCCACAGUCCACGUGUGAGAUCUGGAACCCCCAGUCCAGGAGUAAGAUCAGACCCCCCCCCCCACCCCACCGGUGAGAUUGGGACACCCUCCCAGUCCAAGUGAGAUCAGGACACCCCCAAGUCCAAGUGAGAUCAGGACACCCCCCCACACACACACAAGUCUGCGUGAGAGGCCAGGGCCUACACCCAUUAAGAAACCCCAAGGAAGAACUACUGAACACAGUCAAUCCAAAGGGACAUUGGAAAAACGGACACUUGGUUUCAAGCUACUGUGUUCUGGGGGUGGUUUAAAAGCAAUAGUGGAGGAGUUCCCGUCGUGGCGCAGCAGAAACCACCCUACCAGGAAGCAUGAGGUUGCAGGUUUGAUCCCUGGCCUCGCUUGGUGGGUUAAGGAUCUGGCGUUGCUCUGAGCUGUGGUGAAGUUGGAGACGAGGCUCGGAUCUGGCGUUGCUGUGGCUGUGGUGGAGGCUGGCAGCAACAGCUCCGAUUCGACCCCCUGCCCUGGGAACUUCCAUAUGCUGAGGGUGCGGCCCUAAAAAGACAAAAAGACAAAAAAGCAGUAGUGGAUGCCCAGAGCUUCUACUUAGAAGGGGUACACACCACCUUCCCUCUCAGGAUCCACCAGUGACCCCCUGCCCUAUGUCACUGGCCAAGAGCUGGUGUCCACAGGGCAGAAGAGGAGGACUGUCCUGCCUCAAAGGGGCUGCAAGUGCUCAGGAAUGAGAGAAAGGGGUAAAGGAAAGUGCCCAUAAGCUGCAUUUGAAUAUAUUCUCAAUAACCCCAUUCAAAGCACAGUGAAUACAGACCCCUUUACAGCACAGUAGCAAAAAUAAAGUUCCUGUCUUGGACACAUCUGUUCCAUCUGUUCCACGGGAACAGCACUCUGGGAGGCUGGAGAGGUGAGCAGUGAGCAGACGCUGCUCUGCUGGGUCAUUUCCAGCCACGAUUCACCAGGCAUGCUGCUUCUGCCAGGUGACUAAACACCUCUUCCUAAACUGUUAACAUUUUACCGUGUGUGCGCUGAGGCUGCAUUAAAUGGCAGUGUGGUUGGGAAAUCCUUUAAAGUAUGUGACAGCAUAGCAAAGCAUAAAGUCAUCUGCGAGUGCAGGAGCUGCCUGGGUAUCAGUGCCCGAGGGCACAGCUGGCGCCUCGGAGCUCUCUCCCUCUGUGGGUGCCUGGGCCUGAGCAGAGCCAAGCAGCCGUCAGGGCAGAGUUCCUGGCACAGGCUUGGCAAGGGCUCUUCCUCUAGAAACAGAUUCUUUAAUAAACCCUUGCAUCUGCAAGUAACGUAGAGUGAACAUCCCGGGACUGUUGACAUUGGGGAGCAAGGUGCUAACUCAGGCUACAGAUCCUCUCAAGAGAACCCAAGCUAUGCAGCAUGCAUGCUCCUGCAUGGCACCUCCAUGGGUACAACUCCCAGUCUUGUCCCGAGCCCCAGAUGAGAAGACAUUUGUGACAAGCAGAGGGAAGAGGUAGGCAGGGGAGACAGGUGUAUAGGGUCUGAGGGCAGACUAAGCGCACCUCAUAGUGUUGGACAGUGACCAGCAGAGGGCGGUAAGAAGUGGAUAGUGAGGGACAACUGGCCCAGGGUGUCUCAGAUGACUGGCUCCAGGGCCCUGGUGCCGGGGCAGCCUCAGGAGGUGAAGAACACUUCUCCUUGGGAAUGAAGGGAGGAAGCAGAGGGAGCAGGCUAUCAAUCUUAUGUGUGUAGGACCCUCAGAAACAGGAUCCUGGGGACGAGGCUCAUGUAUGGACAAGGUCCUUCAACAGACAUUUACUGAGUGAUGCUGGGGAUAAAGCUCAGGAGUAGGACAAGGUCCUUCCACAAACAUUUAUCAAGUGAUGCUGGGGACCAGGCUUGGGUGUAGGACAGGGUCCUUCCACAGACAUUUACUGAGUGACUGGGGACGAGGCUCAGGUGUAGGAUGGUGUCCUUCCACAGACAUUUACUGUAAAAUGCUGGGGACGAGGCUUGGGUGUAGGAACAGGUCUUUCCACACAUGUUUACUGAGUGGUGCUGGGGAUGAGGCUUGGGUGUAGGACACUGGUUCCUGCUCUGCUGUCUGAAUAGGGCCAGCAAGGGUGUAGGAAUACAUUAUUGACCUGGAAAAUUCCAGGCCCUGUAUGUCACAGCAUGGGAAAAGGGACAGUGCGGUCCUUGUGGAGGCCAACGCAGGGAGACCAGUGAGUACAGGGCCUGGGGAGCUGGCCUCUACAUCCCAUUCCCAGCCUUCUGGUCGCCCAGCCCUCCCCUUCCUCCCCCCACUUUAUUUUCUUCCAUCUCACACACUCUGUGAUUCCCCCAUUUGUUUUGUUCGUUGCCCAUCCCCAACCAUUGGAUGCAAGUGCCGUAAGGUGAAGAUGUGUUUUUUCUUUUUUCUGACAUAUAGUUGAUUUUAAAUAUUGUGUUAAUUUCUACUAUUAUACAUAUAUAUUUCUUCUUCUUUUUUUUUUAAUGGCUGCACCUGCAGCAUGUGGAGAUUCCCAGGCUAGGAGUCAAAUCAGAGCUGCGGCUGCGGCUGAGGCUGGCACCACAGCCACAGCAACACCAGAUCCGAGCUGCAUCUGCGACCUAGGCCACAGCUUGCAACAGUGCUGAAUCCUUAACCCAGUGAGCAAGGCCAGGGAUUGAACCUCCAGGGGACAAGGCCAGGUCCUUAACCUGCUGAGCCAAAAUGAGAACUCCUAAAAAUUCUUUUUUAUAUUCUUUUCCAUUACGGUUUAUCGCAGGAUAUUGAACGUAUUGCUCAUCCAUUCUAAAUGUUAUAGUUUGCAUAUACUAACCCCAAACUCCCACUCUAUCCCUCCCCUACCCACCCUUUGGCAACCACAACUCUAUUCUCUAUGUGAUUCUAUUUCUGUUGCAUAGAUAAAUUCAUUUGUGUCAUAUUUUAGAUUCUGCAUAAAAGUGAUAUCAUAUGGUAUUUGUCUUUUUGAUUACUUCACUUAAUAUGAUAAUCCCUAGGUCCAUCCAUGUUGCUACAAAUGGCAUUUUUAUUCUUGUUAAUGUUGAGUAAUUGUCCAUUGUUUAUAUGUACUGCAUUUUCUUUAUUCAUUCAUCUGUUGAUGGGCAUUUAGGUCAUUUCAUGUCUUGACUAUUGUGAAUAGUGCUGCAAUGAACAUAGGGGUGCAUGUAUAUUUUUGAAUUCUAAUUUUUAUCUGAAUAGAUGCCCAGGAAUGGGAUUGCUGGAUCAUAUUGUAAUUCUAUUUUUAGUUUUUAAGGAACCUCCAUACUGUUCUCCAUAGUGGCUGCACCAACUUAUAUUUCCACCAGCAGUAUAGGAGGGUUCCUUUUCCUCCACAACCUCUCCAGCAUCUGUCAUUUGUAGAUUUUUUAGUGAUGGCCAUUCUGACUGAGGAAGGUGGUAGGAUCCUGUUGUAGUUUUGAUUUGUGUUUCUCUAAUUAGUGACAUUGAGCAUCUUUUCAUAUGCCUGUCGGCCAUUUGUAUGUCUUCUUUGGUGAAAUGUGUAUUUAGGUCUUCUGCCCAUUAUUCAAAUUGGGUUUUUUGUUGUUUUUAGUGUUAUUGUUGGGUUGUAUGUUGUUGAUUUAAUAUUUUGGAUAUUAAGCCCUUGUUGGUCACAUUUUUUGCAAAAAUUUUUUCCCAUUCUAUAGGUUGUCUCUUUGGUUUUUGGGUUUUGUUUUGAAGGGUUUUUUUUUUUUUUUGGUCAUUUUUUAGGGCCAUGUCCAUGGCAUAUGGAAGUUCCCAGGCCAGGGGUCAAAUCAGCCACAGCA